Molecule: long non-coding RNA, 466 nt
Organism: Malaclemys terrapin pileata
Lineage: Eukaryota; Metazoa; Chordata; Testudines; Emydidae
Exons: 5
Source: RefSeq, a predicted model, not a curated record
AGGUCACCGAGUCUUUCCCUCCAAGCUCCACAUCAGCCCAGGGUUGCUUGAAACUCUGACAACCUGGCCUGAGAUUUUGAAGUGCAAAACCUGCUCUCUUUUCGUCACAAUCCCUGUAAUGAAUUGAGGUAUACAAAGCUGGUCAUACAAUACGUAGCAGCAGCGCGGAGAAAGACUCUUAGGGAAGAGUUUCCAUAGAAACACUGACGUCCUGCCCUGCUAACAGGACAUCGAGUUCCUUGAACGGGAGGAUGAUAUACUGCUUGCGUGUCUUUUUGUUAAAGGUGAUGUUCUAUGCAGGGCCGCGGUGCCUAGAAGCCCCAGCGAAGAAUGUGCUAGGUGCUGUACAGACCCAUAAUAAGAGACGGUCCCCAUCCUGAAGAGCUUACAGUGGCACGCAGAGGUCUCUCAUGGAGGAUCCAGAAGUGUGGACUGAAAGCUCACUCUUUUUAAAUGAAGAAACAAG